AGAGUUUGAUCCUGGCUCAGGAUGAACGCUAGCGACAGGCCUAACACAUGCAAGUCGAGGGGUAACAGGGGAGCUUGCUUCCGCUGACGACCGGCGCACGGGUGAGUAACACGUAUGCAACCUGCCUGUAAUUGCGGGAUAGCCUUUUGAAAGGGAGAUUAAUACCGCAUGUGAUUAUAUUACCGCAUGGUAAUAUACUUAAAUGCAAAGAUUACAGAUGGGCAUGCGUUUCAUUAGCUAGUUGGGGGGGUAACGGCCCACCAAGGCUACGAUGAAUAGGGGUUCUGAGAGGAAGGUCCCCCACACUGGUACUGAGACACGGACCAGACUCCUACGGGAGGCAGCAGUGAGGAAUAUUGGUCAAUGGACGGAAGUCUGAACCAGCCAUGUCGCGUGCAGGAUUACGGCCCUAUGGGUUUUAAACUGCUUUUAUACGAGGAUAAAAUGUACUAUGUAUAGUAUAUUGCAGGUAUCGUAUGAAUAAGGAUCGGCUAACUCCGUGCCAGCAGCCGCGGUAAUACGGAAGGAUCCGAGCGUUAUCCGGAUUUAUUGGGUUUAAAGGGUGCGUAGCUGGGAAAUAAGUCAGCGGUGAAAGUUCAGGGCUUAACUUUGAAAUUGCCGUUGAAACUGUUUUUCUUGAGUAUAUUGGAAGUAGGCGGAAUGUGUAGUGUAGCGGUGAAAUGCAUAGAUAUUACACAGAACCCCGAUUGCGAAGGCAGCUUACUAUACUAUUACUGACGCUGAUGCACGAAAGCGUGGGGAUCAAACAGGAUUAGAUACCCUGGUAGUCCACGCUGUAAACGAUGAUAACUCGCUGUUUGCGAUAUACCGCAAGUGGCCAAGCGAAAGCGUUAAGUUAUCCACCUGGGGAGUACGCCGGCAACGGUGAAACUCAAAGGAAUUGACGGGGGCCCGCACAAGCGGAGGAACAUGUGGUUUAAUUCGAUGAUACGCGAGGAACCUUACCCGGGCUUGAAAUGCAUCUGACGUACUGUGAAAGCAGUAUUCUAGCAAUAGCAGAUGU
RNAcentral lists this ribosomal RNA (1024 nucleotides) under uncultured bacterium. RNAcentral's name for it is "bacterial SSU rRNA". It matches the Rfam family "Bacterial small subunit ribosomal RNA", at positions 8 to 1033 of the family's 1533-position model. The record is from RNAcentral.